UACGUAGGACCCAAGCGUUAUCCGGAUUUACUGGGCGUAAAGAGUUGCGUAGGUGGUUUAUUAAGUGGAGCGUGAAAGCGUGUGGCUCAACCAUACAGCUGCGUUCUAAACUGGUAAACUUGAGUAUGAGAGGGGUAGAUGGAAUUUCUAGUGUAGGAGUGAAAUCCGUAGAUAUUAGAAGGAACACCGAUAGCGUAGGCAGUCUACUGGCUCAUUACUGACACUAAGGCACGAAAGCGUGGGGAGCAAACGGG
RNAcentral lists this ribosomal RNA (254 nucleotides) under uncultured bacterium. Its description in RNAcentral is "partial 16S ribosomal RNA". It matches the Rfam family "Bacterial small subunit ribosomal RNA", at positions 524 to 776 of the family's 1533-position model. The record is from RNAcentral.